This 26-nucleotide unclassified non-coding RNA is filed under the name Mus musculus (house mouse). RNAcentral's name for it is "oocyte_clustered_small_RNA2116". Lineage: Eukaryota; Metazoa; Chordata; Mammalia; Rodentia; Muridae. The record is from RNAcentral.
UCUCUGGUGAAUACCACUCCACCUGC